This 766-nucleotide long non-coding RNA is filed under the name Triticum aestivum (bread wheat). RNAcentral describes it as "long non-coding RNA (TAES_LNC026653)". Lineage: Eukaryota; Viridiplantae; Streptophyta; Magnoliopsida; Poales; Poaceae. The record is from RNAcentral.
CAGCAUCUACCAGCAUUGGCUUCACAUGAUCCUCCAGCACGGACAUGAUGAUUUGCAUGCCCUGUGCGCAACAACACAUCGAGAAAACGAGACACGGAAUCGUUAGCAUCUAAGCACCACAUGCUUAUUUCGGACACAAACGGUGUUACUACAUGCUUACCUCCGUAACCUCUACACUGCCUCCCCAUGGUACUACCUCUAUCCUCGGCACCAUCAGAGGGUGCCACCUCAUUGCUAGUCCAAGCAUGCUCCCUUCAGGUUUGGCCUGCGAACAAAAAUAAAAUGAAAUCAUAUAUCAUUGUAUCACCACUCCCAUAUUUAACUUGAAAAAAAAUCAAAAAACAAACGCAAACUUAUUUUUUAUAUGCCGUUAUUUAUGCUUCAAACCUUAUAUCUCCGUGUUUCCGGCGGUCUUUCUCUGUCCUCCUCAAACAAAGUGAUCAGCUCGUCCAUCUUCUCCGACGAAUAAGAAGCAAUCUUCGGCACCAGGUCUGUGUUAAUGUUGGCCCCCUUGAAAUCAACCCACUCCAGGCAGAAUAACUGUUCAUUGAAGACAACCAAGAGGUAGGUCAGCAAACAGAACAACCAGCAAUCAUAUUUAUGUGCAGGUAUUUGAGCUUAGACUGCUUUUUCCCACAUUUUCAUACCUGUACGAGAAGAUUGUAGCCUCCUAUUGUGUAUGUCUUUGCACCGGUCAGGAGAUCUGCUUUAAAUUUCUCUGCAGCUCUCCUGGUGACAGUUAGAAUGUACCCUGCCCAGUCGUAGU